Molecule: transfer RNA, 65 nt
Filed under: Anaxarcha zhengi
Lineage: Eukaryota; Metazoa; Arthropoda; Insecta; Mantodea; Hymenopodidae
Description: tRNA-Asp
Source: RNAcentral
AAGAAAUUAGUUAAAAUAUAACAUUAAUAUGUCAUAUUAAAAUUAUUAAAACUUAAUAUUUCUUU